Molecule: long non-coding RNA, 443 nt
Organism: Poecilia latipinna (sailfin molly)
Lineage: Eukaryota; Metazoa; Chordata; Actinopteri; Cyprinodontiformes; Poeciliidae
Exons: 2
Source: RefSeq, a predicted model, not a curated record
CAUAAAUGGUUGAAGACAACUUAUUGGCCUUCAUGAGACUCAGAUAAAUGGUGAGUAUCUAUUUCAUAAAUUGCCUAAAAGUUAUAUUUGUUUUUAUUUGUGGUUUUUGUUUGUGUAUUUUGUCUGGUUGCAGAGAGGAUCACACCUGUAGUCAACAAACAAAGGUUUAAGAACUACUGACUUUUCAGUCAGAAAUGAUCACACCGCCUGGUUGAAGUACCAGUCUCCAUAUGCAAGUCAACAAAGCAGAGAGGAAACACCCGAUUGACAACAUGUGAGUCUCGAUUUCAACCUGUGACUGGGAAGACUACAACCACCCUGAGCAAACUCUGAACUCAGUGACUUGUUACUCUCAACCCAGAACAAAAAUCGUUUUAUCACCGGUUUUUCUUCUACAAUAGGUUAUCUCUUAUGUGGACACAUGCUGUUUUUUUGUUUGUUUU